CCAUCAAUCAGUUGCCUCCUCCGCCUAUAAAAGGGAGACCCAGAUACGUUAUUCUUUAAGCUCAUUUUUCUUAUCUCAAAACUCUGCUAAAUUCUCCGUUCGAGCACUCCAUUCUUGUUGAGGCAGAGAACUGACUUGAGCGUCGGAGGGUCUUGCCGGAGCAACCCCACCUCCGGUUUAGACUUCCCUUGCAGGUCCUGGCNN
This 204-nucleotide long non-coding RNA is filed under the name Elaeis guineensis (African oil palm). RNAcentral describes it as "long non-coding RNA (EGUI_LNC061608)". Lineage: Eukaryota; Viridiplantae; Streptophyta; Magnoliopsida; Arecales; Arecaceae. The record is from RNAcentral.